Molecule: long non-coding RNA, 376 nt
Filed under: Sus scrofa (pig)
Lineage: Eukaryota; Metazoa; Chordata; Mammalia; Artiodactyla; Suidae
Description: lncRNA (ENSSSCG00040064294.1)
Source: RNAcentral
GGAAAUGUUUUGUUCUCUUUUUUUCUCCCACGUACAGGGUAAGACCUGGAAUGAAGUCAUGGAAACACAGCAGAAAUUUCCUACUAAUCAAUUAGACUGAGAAAGUAGCAAGAGGCUGUGUGGGAACGCUUCACGAACAAGCUUUGGUUUUGUGAACUGUCUUUUCGACAUUAUCAAGGACUUUAUCUACCCUUCCGAGACUUCACCAUCCUUGGAUUUCAUUUCCAUGCUCACAAAGGUAAAAGCCUUUUUGGAGAUCUCAGCUUCAUGUAAUAAAUUCUCCAUCUCUCGGCAUAGUCGUUAAUAGCUGCUUGGUUGUUGUUGUCCUUCUGGGGAAAGCUCCACCAGCACCUCCCACAAAACCAUCCCCUUCUCC